AUGGCGAGGCACAGCCUCCUUGCCGUGCUCCUCGUCGGGCUGGUCGCGGCCUCCGGCUUCAGCCAGGCGGCCGCCGCUGGCCGGGGCCUUGCUGAGAAGCUCCCCGAGCCGGAGCCCAAGCCGACGCCGUACCCAGAGCCCAAGCCGCAACCCAAGCCAGAGCCAAUGCCUAAGCCUGAACCCAUGCCAAAGCCAGAGCCUAAGCCUGAACCCAUGCCAAAGCCAGAGCCUAAGCCUAUGCCCAAACCCGAACCCAUGCCAAAGCCAGAGCCCAAACCGGAACCGAAGCCGGAGCCGAUGCCAAAGCCUGAACCUAAGCCUGAGCNNNNNNNNNNNNNNNNNNNNNNNNNNNNNNNNNNNNNNGAGCCGAUGCCGAAGCCAGAACCGAAGCCAGAGCCCAAGCCUGAGCCGAUGCCAAAGCCAGAGCCUAAGCCCGAACCAUUGCCUAAACCAGAGCCUAAGCCAGAGCCCAAGCCUGAACCUAUGCCUAAGCCGGAGCCCAAGCCUAAGCCCGAACCGAAGCCGGAGCCGCCUCCGAAGGGCAAGCCGCCAAUGACUGACAAUUGAUGUGAUACUCACAUAUGACAGUGGGAGGAGGAGAUCGACCCCGUCCGGAGCCACGAUGUGUUAUUUCUAGAAUAAGUGGCGUAGUAUCCGGCUAGCGAGAUAGUGAUGAUGCAUCUUUUUGUAUUGCUUCCGUAUUCCACCAUUCCUUUUAGUUUCUGUUGUUCCAUGCACCCGUGAUGAGUAUUACUACUUUGUAAUUAUCAUUUGCGUGUUGGUAUACGUUCAUCUGUGCACAUGACUCGUUGUUCUUUCGUGUAUCUACACAUGCUUUUAUUCGUUUGCAUGAAAGACACAUUUUAUCCAGCAGACAGCAGUCUAUGUUGUUUUCCUUU
This 899-nucleotide ribosomal RNA is filed under the name Triticum aestivum (bread wheat). RNAcentral describes it as "partial small subunit ribosomal RNA". The record is from RNAcentral. Lineage: Eukaryota; Viridiplantae; Streptophyta; Magnoliopsida; Poales; Poaceae.